GGCGCGGUGGCGGAACUGGUAGACGCGCGGGACUCAAAAUCCCGUUUGGUUAAUCCCGAGUGUGGGUUCGAUUCCCACCCGCGCCACCA
This 89-nucleotide transfer RNA is filed under the name Candidatus Saccharimonadota bacterium. Its description in RNAcentral is "tRNA-Leu". It matches the Rfam family "tRNA". Rfam says of the family: Transfer RNA (tRNA) molecules are approximately 80 nucleotides in length. Lineage: Bacteria; Candidatus Saccharimonadota. The record is from RNAcentral.